Prosopis cineraria is the source of this 134-nucleotide small nucleolar RNA. NCBI's taxonomy places the organism in Eukaryota, Viridiplantae, Streptophyta, Magnoliopsida, Fabales, Fabaceae. The record is from RefSeq and is a predicted model, not a curated record.
GAGCAAGAGCAUCUAUUGCAAAAAUCAAGGGUGCAUCUUGCCUUGAGAAUUGGCGAAAAUAACUGGCGAUUCUCCGUGCCUAUCAAAUUGAUUUUAUACCAUUUUGAUGAUGGCCUUGAACAAGUCGCAACUUC